GGCUUUUUUUUUUCUUUUUC
RNAcentral lists this microRNA (20 nucleotides) under Corchorus capsularis. Its description in RNAcentral is "sRNA CCACVL1_19215". The record is from RNAcentral. RNAcentral also lists the same sequence under 1 other name. Lineage: Eukaryota; Viridiplantae; Streptophyta; Magnoliopsida; Malvales; Malvaceae.